ACCCUUUUAACUCAGUGGUAGUGUAUUGCUAUAGUAAGGCGUAAGUCAUUGGUUCAAAUCUGAUAAGGGGAU
Molecule: non-coding RNA, 72 nt
Organism: Gossypium raimondii (Peruvian cotton)
Lineage: Eukaryota; Viridiplantae; Streptophyta; Magnoliopsida; Malvales; Malvaceae
Source: Rfam